This 305-nucleotide ribosomal RNA is filed under the name uncultured bacterium. RNAcentral describes it as "bacterial SSU rRNA". It matches the Rfam family "Bacterial small subunit ribosomal RNA", at positions 336 to 658 of the family's 1533-position model. The record is from RNAcentral.
UUCCUACGGGGGGCAGCAGUCGGGAAUAUUGCGCAAUGGAGGAAACUCUGACGCAGUGACGCCGCGUGAGGGAAGAAGGUUUUCGGAUUGUAAACCUCUGUGGAGGGGGACGAUAAUGACGGUACCCCUUUAGGAAGCCACGGCUAACUACGUGCCAGCAGCCGCGGUAAUACGUAGGUGGCGAGCGUUGUCCGGAAUUACUGGGUGUAAAGGGAGUGUAGGCGGGAAAGCAAGUCAGAAGUGAAAACUAUGGGCUUAACCCAUAGCCUGCUUUUGAAACUGUUUUUCUUGAGUGAAGUAGAGGC